This 483-nucleotide ribosomal RNA is filed under the name Salmonella enterica. Its description in RNAcentral is "bacterial SSU rRNA". It matches the Rfam family "Bacterial small subunit ribosomal RNA", at positions 1050 to 1533 of the family's 1533-position model. The record is from RNAcentral. RNAcentral also lists the same sequence under 18 other names. Lineage: Bacteria; Pseudomonadati; Pseudomonadota; Gammaproteobacteria; Enterobacterales; Enterobacteriaceae.
UGUCGUCAGCUCGUGUUGUGAAAUGUUGGGUUAAGUCCCGCAACGAGCGCAACCCUUAUCCUUUGUUGCCAGCGAUUAGGUCGGGAACUCAAAGGAGACUGCCAGUGAUAAACUGGAGGAAGGUGGGGAUGACGUCAAGUCAUCAUGGCCCUUACGACCAGGGCUACACACGUGCUACAAUGGCGCAUACAAAGAGAAGCGACCUCGCGAGAGCAAGCGGACCUCAUAAAGUGCGUCGUAGUCCGGAUUGGAGUCUGCAACUCGACUCCAUGAAGUCGGAAUCGCUAGUAAUCGUGGAUCAGAAUGCCACGGUGAAUACGUUCCCGGGCCUUGUACACACCGCCCGUCACACCAUGGGAGUGGGUUGCAAAAGAAGUAGGUAGCUUAACCUUCGGGAGGGCGCUUACCACUUUGUGAUUCAUGACUGGGGUGAAGUCGUAACAAGGUAACCGUAGGGGAACCUGCGGUUGGAUCACCUCCUUA